This 468-nucleotide ribosomal RNA is filed under the name uncultured bacterium. RNAcentral describes it as "partial 16S ribosomal RNA". It matches the Rfam family "Bacterial small subunit ribosomal RNA", at positions 28 to 507 of the family's 1533-position model. The record is from RNAcentral.
GACGAACGCUGGCGGCGUGCUUAACACAUGCAAGUCGAACGGAAAGGCCCUGCUUUUGUGGGGUGCUCGAGUGGCGAACGGGUGAGUAACACGUGAGUAACCUGCCCUUGACUUUGGGAUAACUUCAGGAAACUGGGGCUAAUACCGGAUAGGAUCUCCUGCUGCAUGGUGGGGGUUGGAACGUUUCGGCGGUUGGGGAUGGACUCGCGGCUUAUCAGCUUGUUGGUGGGGUAGUGGCUUACCAAGGCUUUGACGGGUAGCCGGCCUGAGAGGGUGACCGGCCACAUUGGGACUGAGAUACGGCGCAGACUCCUACGGGAGGCAGCAGUGGGGAAUAUUGCACAAUGGGCGGAAGCCUGAUGCAGCAACGUCGCGUGCGGGAUGACGGCCUUCGGGUUGUAAAACGCUUUCGCCUGUGACGAAGCGUGAGUGACGGUAAUGGGUAAAGAAGCACCGGCUAACUACGUG